GAGUUUGAUCAUGGCUCAGAACGAACGCUGGCGGCAGGCUUAACACAUGCAAGUCGAACGGACGUAGCAAUACGUUAGUGGCGCACGGGUGAGUAACGCGUGGAUAUCUGCCUUUUGGUUCGGGAUAACCUUGGGAAACUAGGGCUAAUACCGAAUGGUUCCUACGGGAUAAAGAUUUAUCGCCAAAAGAUGAGUCCGCGUCCGAUUAGCUAGUUGGUGUGGUAAUGGCGCACCAAGGCGACGAUCGGUAGCUGGUCUGAGAGGACGAUCAGCCACACUGGGACUGAGACACGGCCCAGACUCCUACGGGAGGCAGCAGUGGGGAAUAUUGGACAAUGGGGGCAACCCUGAUCCAGCCAUGCCGCGUGAGUGAUGAAGGCCUUC
Molecule: ribosomal RNA, 384 nt
Filed under: uncultured Alphaproteobacteria bacterium
Lineage: Bacteria; Pseudomonadati; Pseudomonadota; Alphaproteobacteria
Description: bacterial SSU rRNA
Rfam family: Bacterial small subunit ribosomal RNA
Source: RNAcentral